Molecule: long non-coding RNA, 7325 nt
Organism: Taeniopygia guttata (zebra finch)
Lineage: Eukaryota; Metazoa; Chordata; Aves; Passeriformes; Estrildidae
Source: Ensembl
UUUUUUUUUUUUUUUUUUUGUAAAUAAUCUUAAAAAUUCUUUUAUUUUCCAUAGCAUUGGCCCUGAUUUUCACAAACAUAACACUUUUUCCUUGCCUCGUGUUAAUACUCCAGCAUUCCUAAUGCUUUCCAGUUCCCUUGUUUUCACCCUGCUUUAACAGACAUUCCUGUUUGCAAUGUAAUUUUUAUUUUUCCCCAAAUAUCCUUGUCUUGAAAUGGCAGAAUGCUACUGAAAGUAUCUUGUGGCUACUUUUGGUGAUUUAAAAAAAAUUCCAAAUUGAGAAGGAUAUAAGGUCCCAGAGUACAACCCAAACAUUAUCCAAAUCUCUGCAUCCAAGAAAAAAUCCAGCCUGAGAAAAAAAAUUGUUCCAAGUCACUACAAUAGAAUUUAUCCUACCUAACUUUAAGUACCUAUACUUUAAAUGUCCUUACUUUCUGAGAUGAUACUGUUACUAUGUCCUCUCUUAAUUCCCAUGUGGUUUAAAAUAGUACUGAAUUGACCCAAUUUUCCUUCAGUCCUCCUUUCCCCUGGUACCAUUACAGUCAAACUUCCUAGUUUCUAUAGAAAAAAGGUAUUCUAAGUAAAACUUACACAUGAUAGUCUGUAGUUGUGAAUUUGUUGUUUUUUUGACAAGUGGCUCUCAUAAAACUGCUACUGACUAAUAUUUUUAAAGCAGACAAUCUAGUCAAUCUAGGUAAUCUAUACUAAGCAGUAAACACAAAAUACACAUAAGAGGUCAAAAGAAAUAUAUAUUAGGUUGAUCUAAAUCUUACAUUCCAACUUUUUCUCUGUGUCCUUUAAUAUAUUCCUUAAAAAAAUAUAAAUCUCUGGCUGUUUCUUACCUUUUUUUUUUCUCUUCGCUGAUUUACCUUUUGUCUUAAUUCAUAUUUUUCUCUACCUAAGUAAAUUAUUCUCUGCCUGUUUCCUCUUUUUGACUGUUUCAUUUUUUUUUUCUUGCUAUUUCUUCAGUCUGAACUGUUUGAUAUUUCUCUAUUAAAACUUCAUUACUCUGUAUGCCGCAAUUUGGGUCACUUAAAGAGAACAAAUCCACGAUUUUCACUACUGUAUGGACUGCUAAACAAUAUUAUUGUCACUAUAUCUUUUUUUUUUUUUUCAGAGCAAUAAUAUAUUUGUGGAAAGGUGAAUGGAAAGAACUAAAUAUAUUAUUCUAAAUAAGUGUUAGGCUUAAUCAACCUCUUGCAUAGAAGUAACAAUUCAUUUAAUUUGUGUUACAUACCUUUGCUUUUUCAUCCUAAGAUCUAGUUUAUAUAUGCAGCUACAAACUGACUUGAUGGUUUCAAGAAUUUUUUUCACCAUAAGUCCUCAGUUUUGGGGAUGGGAAUUAUAAGGUGUAUGCCUGUUUUAUGCAAUGCAAAAAAUAUGUUUCAUUAUUUCUUAUCCACUGACCUAACUGGUUUGUAUUCUGUUGUAUGUAUUAGUUUUUCAAAAGUUCUAAGUUCUUAUUUUUGCUAUUGUCCUGAGUCUUAUUCUUCCUCUUAUUAUCUUCAUUAUUCUAUAUAAAGAUAUAUGCCUAAUAUGACUAUAGCGUAUUACUUUGUGCCUUUCAAAAUUAGAAAAGCUGUCAAAGUAAAUGAGUGAAUCUGAAAAUUUGUUUGAAAGGAGGAGACUUAGCUUCUGAACAAAAUCUCUGACCAAAAUAGGGGGAAAAGUAUAAUCUAGACCUUUCUUGGUAAAGGAAAAUGUACAUAAUUGCUCAUCAAACGUGGAUGCACACACAUGCACGUUUAACACAAGCAUGCACGCAAUAAAAGAAACCAAAUUCCAUAACACAAAAAUUAAUAUACUUCCCAGGUAGAAAAUGUGCUUUUAUAAAAUAUUUCAGACAUUUUUUGCCGGAAUGUGUAUCCUUCCUCCCUUUUAAUUUCAGUAACCUACAUUUGCUGAAGCUCCAAUAGAUUAUUAUUUUUCAAGGAAGAAGGAAGCAAUGAGGAGAGGUAGGGAGAAAAGGAAGGAAAAGAAAAAAAAGUGUUAUUAGAUUCAAUUUCCUUCAAAAACUUAGGAAUGAUUCUGAGAAUCAGAGAUUCUGAUAUUACACAGGCUACUGAGUACAUCUGUGGUUGGCUGUGUGAUCCAUCACUUCAGUUUUCCAGUCUCUCUUUCUCAUCACUGCAAAAGCCCCUUCACAAGUUUGAAGUUAAUAAACUUCUAAUCAUCUCUGCAUGGCCAAUCAAAUAUUCAUUAAGGCCCAGCACACUGGCCAGCUGGAUUUCAAAAGUUUCCUACCUUGAGGAAUUUAAAAGUGCCCAACUGCCCACUUUCCUGAGAAGGUUAUUGACAUGGCUGAAUGUACUCAUUGUGGCAAACUUUCUUCCUGUGUCUAAUCAGAGUCUCCUCAGGAGUAACUUGUGACCAUUACGCCUCAUCAUUUCCAUGUGACUCCUUGUAUAAAGGGAGGCUCCAUCUUCUUUGUAGCCACACUUUAAAAACUGAAAGAUGAUAAGGUCUUCCCUAAGCUUUCUUCUCUCAAGGCUGAACAAACCCAGUUCUCCCUUUCCUGCAUGACAGGAUCCCAGUCCUUGGAUCAUCUUUUUGGCCCUUCUCUAGAUCAUCUGGAGAUUAUCCUGUUUGCAUUUUGGUUUUUUAUCAUGGAUCAAAACCCAGCACCCUAUUUCCAAGUGUGUCCUGACAAGCACAGAAGGGGAUAAUAAAGUGGCUUUUUAAUCUCUACUGGUGAUGCUCUUGUUGAUGCACCCCAAAAUCCUGCUGGCUUUCUGUGCCACAGCAGCAAAUUUCUCACAUUGAACUUGCAGUUCCCCAGGAUCCCCAGGUCCAUUUCUGUAGAACUGUCUCACAAACAGGUAGAUGCCAGCCUGAGAUACACUCCUGGAUUAUGUCUCCCCAGGCACAAGACCUUAUUCUUGUCCUUGUUAAAUUUCAUAAAUUUCUUGCUGGUUCUGUCUUCCAGCCUAUCCAGAUCUUCCUGCAGGGUGCCACUCCCUCCUGAAGUGUUCCCUUCCACACCCAGUUUGGUAUUAUCAGCAAACAUCAUCAGAGCACAUUUGAUCCCAUCAUCCAGAUCAUUUAUGAAGACAUUAAACAGCAUGGGGCUCCAUUUGGUUCCCUGGGGGACCCCAUAUGUGACAGACUGCCAGUUUGAAAAGCAGCUAUUUACUACCACCCUUUGGGCGCAGUCUGUCAGCCAGUUCCCCACCCACCACACAGACCCCUUCUCUAGACCAUGACACACAUGCAGCCGGCUCCAUAGUUUAGUACAACAAAAAAUAGAGAAGAUAUAAAAAAUGGUACUUAGCAUUUUGUGUUAGAUCCAGAUGAUGUACAUCAGGGAGCAAAUCAUGAGGCCAGUUUGUAAAAAGUGCUGAACAUUCUGGUUGUAUAUAAAAUAAAUGAUCAAGUGAGUGGACUGUACAGUAUAUGCACAAUACCCUUGUGCUUUGUCACCUGAAUGAUGUUUCUCAAUUUGUGUGUAUUUCUCAAGGAAAAACCCUAAUCUGAAGAAAGAAAAUAAUUUAAUACUGAAACAGUAGGAUUCUCUUCAAGACUCAUGUAAAUGUGUCACUUCAGGUUUUUCUGUUGUUUUUUGGGGGGUUUUGUUUAGUUUUGGUUUAUUGUGGGUUUUUUUGGCUUUUUGUGGAACUAUUCCAGCAAGUACCCUUUCAUAUUAAAAUUCUAACCUUCUUCCUCCCUUUGCAUAGCUGUAAAAACAUUUGCCAAUUUACUUCCUCUAACAGCCUGCAGCUCUCUAGCACUAUCCAGAAAUUACCUGAUUUCUUUUCGAUACCCUAAGCUUCUCUCUAAAACAGCUGUAUCAGCAAAGAUAUUUUUAGUGUCUUUUCCUUCAUCCUCAAUAUCAUUCUCAUAAAACCUUGUCAUCCAGUCCUCCUGCUUUUUUUCCAUCACUCAUUUCUAUUAAAAUUCUAAUUUUUUUUUAAACGCACAGGCGUUUUUCUACAUUACCUGUUUCCAUCAUUCUAAUCAUGUCAUAUACUGCUUAAAAAGUACUGCAACAAUACUAAAUAUCAGUUUGACAAUUUCAGCCUGAUGACUCUUUUUUCCCCCCAUUUUCUUUAGGAUUAGAUAUUUAACCAUUUCCUAUAUCAUCCAACUUUACCGUAUAUCUCCCUCAUCUUUGGUAACAGUAACCUACAAAAGAAGUACACAUGCAUGGGACCUCUAAAAUGAGUUAUUUAGCAUGAAAGAUUCACAUCAGUCAAACACUGUCCUUGCAAUUAAUCUGAUCAGUUAAAAAUUAAUCUGAUUAGGUUGCAAACAUUUUCUUUCUCAGAGAAUGCAUAUUAAACAUGUUGUGAGAGGUUGUGAAAAGACACAUUUUCUGCACAUGUGUAACUUUCAAAGCUCCUAGAUGAGACCACUCAUUCUAAUUUGGAAAUCACAGAUCAUGAUAUAGUACAUGACAUUUCUCCCCAAGAAAAGAAACCAAAGUUAAAUCAGGAAAAGUGGGGGAGGGGGGGGGGGAGUGAAGAAAAGCGGAAUUUGAGUUUAACAUGAUGUAUUUCCAAAACUGGAUAUUUUGACAGAUUUGGUAGAUGUGCAUGUAGAGCCACAACAAAAUGCACAAGCAUAUAUUACCUGAUGAACAGAUUGGCCAUCUGUGUUACCUUCUGCUGACAAGAUUUAUGAGAGCAAUUUUAUAUAUCAUAUAAAAGAAUUAUGUCAAAUAUUUAAAUAAAUUUCUUUCAAACUCCUCUCUAUAAUAAUAGCAUAACUGUUGUUAAUAUAUUGCACAUAUUUUGUGCUUUUCACAAAAGAUAGAGUAUGUCUUUAUGUACAAAUAUGAAUGUGCAAUAGAGAAAGAGAAAGAAAGGUAGAAAACUUUCAUUUUAAUUAGCGAGAAAAACUUUUUAUUCACUCUUUCUAUAACAACAUUUAGCUACACCUUGCAUUUGUCUAAGCUAUCACAAUAGACUCCAAUGACUUAAGGACCUGAUUUAAGGUUAACUGCAAGAGCUUUUUAAAUUGGUACCUUCCUUCCUUCCUGCAGAACAGCAUUUGAGACCCCAGAGUAUCACACAUAAACAGACAAGGUUCUCCAACCUCUAGACUUCCAUUUAAUGACUUUGAGAUAAGGAUUUCUGCUUAGCAUCUAAUAUUGCACCUUUUCAGCUGCACAAAAAAUACAGACGAUAAUAUAAAAAGAAUCCUAUAUUUUCUGCAUAAAAUAUACAACAUUCCAUCAGUAUAAAAACAACCUGUAUUAAGUGAAGUAGUUUGGCUGUGUAUAUUCAGGACAAUUCUACCAAAGGAAACUCUCUACAGCACAAUAUUGUACACAAUAGUUCACUAAGUGUUUGAAUGGGGCAAUCAGUACAUGCAAUCAGAAUAUGUUUUCUAACACUUUGCUAAAAAUUGUUGCAUUCCAAGGCUGAAUAAGAUAUCUAUAUACAUAUGUUUUUAAAUGUUAUUUUUGCUAUUGUAAAUUAAAGGUUAGUCUUUCUUUUAUGUCAUAAAAAGCAGAGUUUAAGCUGAAAAAACUUGCUGGAUAUUGGUAAAAUAUAGUAUUUGCUAGCUCAGUCAAUUAUCAUCAUAAUUUCUCAUUUCUGCAGAAAAGUAAGCUUCUCAUGAGGAAGCAUUCUGAAUUAACCUGACCUUAGGAUGUUUAAAAAGGGUUAAAUUACUCACCCUUCUAUGUACACUUAUUGUUUACUGUAAAUCAACCCUACAUUUCAAUUAAUAAUUUCAAAUUAACUCUAUUUCAUUGAAGCAUACCCCAAUAUACUUUGCGUCAGAACCUUUCAAAUGAAGAGAACAGCUUUAAAUGCUAUACUGUAUCAUCUCUAUGAGCCCUAAAACAUUAAAUAUUAUUUUCUUAAGCCGGCUUGUUAUAUCUAAAAGGCAUGACUAAAAAUACUGAUUGCUCAAGAGUGCUCACAUCAGUCUUCCUUUGCAUUUCUGCGUCCAAUAUUAGGAUGCAGAAGAGCGUGCCUCUAUUUUAAGAAUUUAAUGUUAUUAAAAUUUGUCCCUUUAGACCUUCCUUGAAUGAUGGAUCUUCUACAGGGUAGACACUAUCAAAACUGUAGCCAUGGCUGAAUACACUUUAGUAAUAUAUUUCUCAAGUUCUUUGUGCUAAUGUAAUGAGCUACAUCAUAGCUGAAAUUCAACAUGUAAAAGCUGUCUUCUUAUCAGUGUAAGGCAUUUCUGUAUUGAAAAAUAAAUCUUUUCUGCAGGUCAAUAUGGCUUUUGUAAAUCAGUGAUUAAAAUUGUGUUUAACUGUACAGAAUUUAACAAAAGCAGUACCUGGAGUGUCCUUGUUGAAUUUCAAUUGUUCAGAAUAAACAAGUGCUGUAAUGCAUUUUUUAUGUACUAAGUGUCUACUUAAAGUAUUGCUUUGAUCUUUCAAUUUCAAACUUAGAGGAACAAACAGGUUAUUUUUCAUAAGUACUAUUUAUGUUCUUUACUUUUAUACUAUGACCUCUAAAUCUUAAUACAAGAGUAAGCUGAAUCUAGGAAAGUGGCCGUGGACAUUUAUCAUCUACUUUCCCAUCCCCCUUUUUUAUAAAGACAAAUUACUAAAGCCAAAGUAUUCCAUAGAAAAAUUUGGUUAUAUCUUUUAUUUUCAGCAUAACUUCAUUAUGAUCUGCAAAUGCUAGCAGAUAUAGUCUAAAUACUUACAUAUCUCAGAUUAAACUGGUGUUAAUUAUGUAGAAAAUGCACACUUAUUCUAAGACUAUCGUGCUUUUUUGUGCAUUCAUUUCCACAGUCAGGGAAUAUGCGAGCAUGUGUCCACUUGGAAACUUGCAAAAGAUGCCUUCCUUUUGUAGAUGUUGUGGAUAGAUGAUAUAAAGAUACUCAAGAAAAUUAAGUCUUCUACUCAGCUAAGAUACCCCAGAAGCAGAUGUAUGGGAGUAGCUGAGCUUCAUUUGGGGACAAACUCAGAAGUAAAAAAUACUCCAAGAAUACAUUAAUAAUAAAGACAGAAAUGUAUUAAUGACAGUUGAAUAGCUUGUCAAACAACUCUUAAAUGCUUAUUUGCAUCUUAAUGGUUAAUUAAGGAAUGGGAGAUUGACAAAUAGGUUAAGGGAACUAGAAGUCUGAAAUUACAUUAAAUUACAGUACUUUUUAUUUAUUAUUUCUACCUUUAUGCAUUUCAUGCAAAGCAGAGUACUCCAUUGUUCUGAAGUGCUAUUAAUGAACUCAAUAAUUUGUUUGCAAGAUGUAUGGAGGAGUUUGCUUCCUUGCAGGUGCUGUAAACUUACCAUUUUUCACCUAGCAAGGAACUGGAGGAUGGAUAAACAUGGCUGAUCUGAUGAAUUGGUAAGGCAUGAUGUGUUCAAAUAUCUUAUUUAAGAUCUUUACUUCUAAAUUAUUUUCCAGGUUCACAAACAGUG